GAUGAACGCUAGCGGGAGGCCUAAUACAUGCAAGUCGAACGGUAACAGGGUAGCAAUACCGCUGACGAGUGGCGCACGGGUGCGUAACACGUACACAAUCUACCUUAUACUGGAGCAUAACCUCGGGAAACUGAGGCUAAUUCUCCAUAACAUAUUAAAAAGGCAUCUUUUUGAUAUUAAAACUCCGGUGGUAUAAGAUGAGUGCGCGUCUGAUUAGCUAGUUGGUGGGGUAAUGGCUCACCAAGGCAACGAUCAGUAGGGGGCCUGAGAGGGUUAUCCCCCACACUGGUACUGAGACACGGACCAGGCUCCUACGGGAGGCAGCAGUGAGGAAUAUUGGUCAAUGGACGAAAGUCUGAACCAGCCAUGCCGCGUGCAGGAUGAAUGCCCUAUGGGUUGUAAACUGCUUUUAUAUAGGAAUAAACCCCCUCUCGUGAGAGGGGCUGAAGGUACUAUAAGAAUAAGGACCGGCUAACUCCGUGCCAGCAGCCGCGGU
This 496-nucleotide ribosomal RNA is filed under the name uncultured bacterium. RNAcentral describes it as "bacterial SSU rRNA". It matches the Rfam family "Bacterial small subunit ribosomal RNA", at positions 28 to 521 of the family's 1533-position model. The record is from RNAcentral.